Non-coding RNA from Caenorhabditis elegans, 270 nucleotides. The record is from Ensembl. Lineage: Eukaryota; Metazoa; Nematoda; Chromadorea; Rhabditida; Rhabditidae.
CAAUGUGCGCGCAAAAACAGUGUGAAGAGAGAUUGAGUGAGGUAGAGGCAAAAAGCGGUCGACAGCUGGUCCGUCUUCACUCGAUCCGACCGCGGUUCGACCAACUGGAGCGGUGAAGACGUUUUUCGAGAGCGCCUCUCUCUCUCUGCUCAAUGAGCACAACGCAAUUAUCGAUUCGUAGUGUAAUAAAGGGACGGAAGGAACAGGGAACACAGAGACAUGUUAUAAUGAUUGAUGUUUUUGUCUAGUUGAUUUAUUCUAUUUUUGACU